CAGCCGCCGCGGUAAUACGUAGGUGGCAAGCGUUAUCCGGAAUUACUGGGCGUAAAGCGCGCGUAGGCGGUUUUUUAAGUCUGAUGUGAAAGCCCACGGCCCAACCGUGGAGGGUCAUUGGAAACUGGAAAACUUGAGUGCAGAAGAGGAAAGUGGAAUUCCAUGUGUAGCGGUGAAAUGCGCAGAGAUAUGGAGGAACACCAGUGGCGAAGGCGACUUUCUGGUCUGUAACUGACGCUGAUGUGCGAAAGCGUGGGGAUCAAACAGGAUUAGAGACCCCCGUAGUCCCUGUCUCUUAUAC
This 301-nucleotide ribosomal RNA is filed under the name uncultured bacterium. Its description in RNAcentral is "partial 16S ribosomal RNA". It matches the Rfam family "Bacterial small subunit ribosomal RNA", at positions 509 to 807 of the family's 1533-position model. The record is from RNAcentral.